Long non-coding RNA from Zalophus californianus (California sea lion), 419 nucleotides. RefSeq lists it as uncharacterized. Lineage: Eukaryota; Metazoa; Chordata; Mammalia; Carnivora; Otariidae. The transcript is spliced from 2 exons. The record is from RefSeq and is a predicted model, not a curated record.
GCCAAACAUAAAAGGUGGAAUUAAAACACGGUGCCCUGGCUCUGAAAUCUUGCCUCUUCCCACCCCACCUGCAGUUUAUAGUGAAACCUUUUUUAAGAGCAUCAUGGGACGUUGGAUAGAAAUCCUUGAUCUUCUAGUUCUGAGGCACAUGUAAUUAUUUCACAGGUGUUCACUUGGCAAGAGACUCCUAAUCCAGAAACCGUUCCAGCACGGGGAUAAGUUUUUCUAAGCAGCAAAUGACUACAAACACAUCUGCAUUGACAAGUCACAACUUAUAUCCUUCUAUGGUGUUUCUGCUCUUUUGAAAAUGUUAAUAAAAACUUAAUGUGGAAAAAAAACAACUUUUUCCAAAUAUGUGUACCAAUAAGCCUGAGGCAACUCAUACUUUCUUAUAAAAUAAAGUAGGUCACUCACAUCAA